UACAGAGGGUGCAAGCGUUGUUCGGAAUUAUUGGGCGUAAAGCGCGUGUAGGCGGCGUGACAAGUCGGGUGUGAAAGCCCUCAGCUCAACUGAGGAAGUGCGCCCGAAACUGUCGUGCUUGAGUGCCGGAGAGGGUGGCGGAAUUCCCAGUGUAGAGGUGAAAUUCGCAGAUAUCAGGAAGAACACCGACGGCGAAGGCAGCUCGCUGGGACGGUACUGACGCUGAGGCGCGAAAGCGUGGGGAGCGAACAGG
RNAcentral lists this ribosomal RNA (253 nucleotides) under uncultured bacterium. Its description in RNAcentral is "partial 16S ribosomal RNA". It matches the Rfam family "Bacterial small subunit ribosomal RNA", at positions 524 to 776 of the family's 1533-position model. The record is from RNAcentral.